AGAGAAGUACCCAAGCGGCUGUAAGGGGCUCCCCUGCUAAGGGAGUAGGCCGGGAUACCGGUGCGAGGGUUCGAAUCCCUUCUUCUCUGCCA
This 92-nucleotide transfer RNA is filed under the name Ectobacillus ponti. RNAcentral's name for it is "tRNA-Ser". It matches the Rfam family "tRNA". Rfam says of the family: Transfer RNA (tRNA) molecules are approximately 80 nucleotides in length. Their secondary structure includes four short double-helical elements and three loops (D, anti-codon, and T loops). Further hydrogen bonds mediate the characteristic L-shaped molecular structure. tRNAs have two regions of fundamental functional importance: the anti-codon, which is responsible for specific mRNA codon recognition, and the 3' end, to which the tRNAs corresponding amino acid is attached (by aminoacyl-tRNA synthetases). tRNAs cope with the degeneracy of the genetic code in two manners: having more than one tRNA (with a specific anti-codon) for a particular amino acid; and 'wobble' base-pairing, i.e. permitting non-standard base-pairing at the 3rd anti-codon position. Lineage: Bacteria; Bacillati; Bacillota; Bacilli; Caryophanales; Bacillaceae. The record is from RNAcentral.